RNAcentral lists this ribosomal RNA (274 nucleotides) under uncultured bacterium. RNAcentral's name for it is "partial 16S ribosomal RNA". It matches the Rfam family "Bacterial small subunit ribosomal RNA", at positions 523 to 796 of the family's 1533-position model. The record is from RNAcentral.
AUACGGAGGGUGCAAGCGUUACUCGGAAUCACUGGGCGUAAAGCGCGCGCAGGCGGUCUUUUAAGUUGGAUGAGAAAGCCUACGGCUCAACCGUAGAACUGCAUCCAAAACUAUUAGACUAGAGUGUGGGAGAGGAAGAUGGAAUUAGUUGUGUAGGGGUAAAAUCCGUAGAGAUAACUAGGAAUACCAAAAGCGAAGGCAAUCUUCUGGAACACUACUGACGCUGAGGCGCGAAAGCGUGGGGAGCAAACAGGAUUAGAAACCCCAGUAGUCC